CUGACGGAGCACGCCGCGUGAGGUGAUGAAGGUUUUCGGAUCGUAAAGCUCUGUUGUUAGGGAAGAACAAGUGCGAGAGUAACUGCUCGCACCUUGACGGUACCUAACCCAGAAAGCCACGGCUAACUACGUGCCAGCAGCCGCGGUAAUACGUAGGUGGCAAGCGUUGUCCGGAAUUAUUGGGCGUAAAGGGCUCGCAGGCGGUUUCUUAAGUCUGAUGUGAAAGCCCCCGGCUCAACCGGGGAGGGUCAUUGGAAACUGGGAAACUUGAGUGCAGAAGAGGAGAGUGGAAUUCCACGUGUAGCGGUGAAAUGCGUAGAGAUGUGGAGGAACACCAGUGGCGAAGGCGACUCUCUGGUCUGUAACUGACGCUGAGGAGCGAAAGCGUGGGGAGCGAACAGGAUUAGAUACCCUGGUAGUCCACGCCGUAAACGAUGAGUGCUAAGUGUUAGGGGGUUUCCGCCCCUUAGUGCUGCAGCUAACGCAUUAAGCACUCCGCCUGGGGAGUACGGUCGCAAGACUGAAACUCAAAGGAAUUGACGGGGGCCCGCACAAGCGGUGGAGCAUGUGGUUUAAUUCGAAGCAACGCGAAGAACCUUACCAGGUCUUGACAUCCUCUGACAACCCUAGAGAUAGGGCUUUCCCUUCGGGGACAGAGUGACAGGUGGUGCAUGGUUGUCGUCAGCUCGUGUCGUGAGAUGUUGGGUUAAGUCCCGCAACGAGCGCAACCCUUGAUCUUAGUUGCCAGCAUUUAGUUGGGCACUCUAAGGUGACUGCCGGUGACAAACCGGAGGAAGGUGGGGAUGACGUCAAAUCAUCAUGCCCCUUAUGACCUGGGCUACACACGUGCUACAAUGGACAGAACAAAGGGCUGCAAGACCGCAAGGUUUAGCCAAUCCCAUAAAUCUGUUCUCAGUUCGGAUCGCAGUCUGCAACUCGACUGCGUGAAGCUGGAAUCGCUAGUAAUCGCGGAUCAGCAUGCCGCGGUGAAUACGUUCCC
This 1000-nucleotide ribosomal RNA is filed under the name Bacillus safensis. Its description in RNAcentral is "bacterial SSU rRNA". It matches the Rfam family "Bacterial small subunit ribosomal RNA", at positions 383 to 1375 of the family's 1533-position model. The record is from RNAcentral. Lineage: Bacteria; Bacillati; Bacillota; Bacilli; Caryophanales; Bacillaceae.